UCAAGUCAUCAUGGCCCUUAUGUCCAGGGCGACACACGUGCUACAAUGGUCGGGUACAGAGGGAAGCGAUUUCGUGAGGAUGAGCGGAUCCCAUAAAGCCGAUCUCAGUUCGGAUUGAAGUCUGCAAUUCGACUUCAUGAAGCUGGAAUCGCUAGUAAUCGCAGAUCAGCCAAGCUGCGGUGAAUACGUUCCCGGGCCUU
This 200-nucleotide ribosomal RNA is filed under the name uncultured prokaryote. RNAcentral describes it as "partial 16S ribosomal RNA". It matches the Rfam family "Bacterial small subunit ribosomal RNA", at positions 1185 to 1382 of the family's 1533-position model. The record is from RNAcentral.